This 483-nucleotide ribosomal RNA is filed under the name uncultured bacterium. Its description in RNAcentral is "partial 16S ribosomal RNA". It matches the Rfam family "Bacterial small subunit ribosomal RNA", at positions 28 to 523 of the family's 1533-position model. The record is from RNAcentral.
GACGAACGCUGGCGGCGUGCUUUACACAUGCAAGUCGAACGGUGAAGGUGGAGCUUGCUCCGCCGGAUCAGUGGCGAACGGGUGAGUAACACGUGGGCAACCUGCCCCUAACUUUGGGAUAACUACUCGAAAGAGUAGCUAAUACCGGAUAUGAAGUCUGUAGGCAUCUACGGACUUGGAAAGUUUUUCGGUUAGGGAUGGGCCCGCGGCCUAUCAGCUUGUUGGUGAGGUAGUGGCUCACCAAGGCGACGACGGGUAGCCGGCCUGAGAGGGCGACCGGCCACACUGGGACUGAGACACGGCCCAGACUCCUACGGGAGGCAGCAGUGGGGAAUAUUACGCAAUGGGCGAAAGCCUGACGCAGCAACGCCGCGUGCGGGAUGAAGGCCUUCGGGUUGUAAACCGCUUUCAGCACCGACGAAGCGCAAGUGACGGUAGGUGCAGAAGAAGGACCGGCCAACUACGUGCCAGCAGCCGCGGUAA